This 601-nucleotide ribosomal RNA is filed under the name Filobasidium magnum. RNAcentral describes it as "eukaryotic LSU rRNA". It matches the Rfam family "Eukaryotic large subunit ribosomal RNA", at positions 74 to 661 of the family's 3401-position model. Lineage: Eukaryota; Fungi; Basidiomycota; Tremellomycetes; Filobasidiales; Filobasidiaceae. The record is from RNAcentral.
AUUCCCCUAGUAACGGCGAGUGAAGCGGGAAGAGCUCAAAUUUGAAAUCUGGUGGCCUCAGGUCAUCCGAGUUGUAAUCUAUAGAAGUGUUUUCCGUGCUGGCUCAUGUACAAGUCCCUUGGAACAGGGCGUCAUAGAGGGUGAGAAUCCCGUCCUUGACAUGAACUACCAGUGCUCUGUGAUACAUUUUCAACGAGUCGAGUUGUUUGGGAAUGCAGCUCAAAAUGGGUGGUAAAUUCCAUCUAAAGCUAAAUAUUGGCGAGAGACCGAUAGCGAACAAGUACCGUGAGGGAAAGAUGAAAAGCACUUUGGAAAGAGAGUUAAACAGUAUGUGAAAUUGUUGAAAGGGAAACGAUUGAAGUCAGUCGUGCUCUUUGGAUUCAGCCGGUUCUGCCGGUGUACUUCCUUUGAGUGGGGUCAACAUCAGUUUUGAUCGCUGGAUAAAGGCUGGAGGAACGUAGUACCCUCGGGUAAACUUAUAGCCUCCUGUCACAUACAGUGGUUGGGACUGAGGAACGCAGCACGCCUUUAUGGCCGGGAUUCGUCCACGUACGUGCUUAGGAUGUUGACAUAAUGGCUUUAAACGACCCGUCUUGAAACA